ACGCUGGCGGCGUGCCUAAUACAUGCAAGUCGAACGCUUUUUUCAAUCAUCGUAGCUUGCUACACCGAUUGAAAAUUGAGUGGCGAACGGGUGAGUAACACGUGGGUAACCUGCCCAAAAGAGGGGGAUAACACUUGGAAACAGGUGCUAAUACCGCAUAACCAUAAUGACCGCAUGGUCAUUAUGUAAAAGAUGGUUUCGGCUAUCACUUUUGGAUGGACCCGCGGCGUAUUAACUUGUUGGUGGGGUAAUGGCCUACCAAGGUAAUGAUACGUAGCCGAACUGAGAGGUUGAUCGGCCACAUUGGGACUGAGACACGGCCCAAACUCCUACGGGAGGCAGCAGUAGGGAAUCUUCCACAAUGGGCGCAAGCCUGAUGGAGCAACGCCGCGUGAGUGAGGAAGGUCUUCGGAUCGUAAAACUCUGUUGUUAGAGAAGAACGUGCAGGAGAGUAACUGUUCUUGUAUUGACGGUAUCUAACCAGAAAGCCACGGCUAACUACGUGCCAGCAGCCGCGGUAAUACGUAGGUGGCAAGCGUUGUCCGGAUUUAUUGGGCGUAAAGGGAACGCAGGCGGUCCUUUAAGUCUGAUGUGAAAGCCUUCGGCUUAACCGAAGAAUUGCAUUGGAAACUGGAGGACUUGAGUGCAGAAGAGGAGAGUGGAACUCCAUGUGUAGCGGUGAAAUGCGUAGAUAUAUGGAAGAACACCAGUGGCGAAAGCGGCUCUCUGGUCUGUAACUGACGCUGAGGUUCGAAAGUGUGGGUAGCAAACAGGAUUAGAUACCCUGGUAGUCCACACCGUAAACGAUGAAUGCUAAGUGUUGGAGGGUUUCCGCCCUUCAGUGCUGCAGCUAACGCAAUAAGCAUUCCGCCUGGGGAGUACGACCGCAAGGUUGAAACUCAAAGGAAUUGACGGGG
Molecule: ribosomal RNA, 917 nt
Filed under: uncultured bacterium
Lineage: Bacteria
Description: bacterial SSU rRNA
Rfam family: Bacterial small subunit ribosomal RNA
Source: RNAcentral